AUGCAUGCAAACGGGAGCUCGGCAAACCGGGCUGAGAGGGUGUUUGUGGACACCGACCGUCAACCUGAUCUGGAUAAUGCCAGCGUAGGAAUUCAAUUGCACUUAUAC
Molecule: non-coding RNA, 108 nt
Filed under: Alicyclobacillus sp.
Lineage: Bacteria; Bacillati; Bacillota; Bacilli; Caryophanales; Alicyclobacillaceae
Description: TPP sequence
Rfam family: TPP riboswitch aptamer (THI element)
About the family: Vitamin B(1) in its active form thiamin pyrophosphate (TPP) is an essential coenzyme that is synthesised by coupling of pyrimidine and thiazole moieties in bacteria. The previously detected thiamin-regulatory element, thi box was extended, resulting in a new, highly conserved RNA secondary structure, the THI element, which is widely distributed in eubacteria and also occurs in some archaea.
Source: RNAcentral